This 287-nucleotide signal recognition particle RNA is filed under the name Cercocebus atys (sooty mangabey). Its description in RNAcentral is "Metazoan signal recognition particle RNA (ENSCATG00000002519.1)". It matches the Rfam family "Metazoan signal recognition particle RNA". Rfam says of the family: The signal recognition particle (SRP) is a universally conserved ribonucleoprotein. It is involved in the co-translational targeting of proteins to membranes. Lineage: Eukaryota; Metazoa; Chordata; Mammalia; Primates; Cercopithecidae. The record is from RNAcentral.
UCUGGGCACGGUGGCAUCCCCUGUCGUCUCAGCUACUCACGAGGAUGAGGUGGGCAGAUCAGUUGAGCCGAGGAGUUCUGUGCUGUGUUAUGAGAUGUCUCUGCUAAGUUCAGCAUCAGUAUGGUGACCUCCGGGGGGUGGGGGACCACCAGAUUGCCUAAGGAGGGCUGAACCGGCCCAGGUCAGAAACAGAGCAGGUCAAAAGUGUCCUGCUGUUCAGUAGAGGGAUCACGCUUGUGAAGAGCCACUGCGCUCCAGCCUGGGCAAUAUAGCACGACCUCAUCUCU